GGCUUCGUGGCUUAGUUGGUUAAAGCGCCUGUCUAGUAAACAGGAGAUCCUGGGUUCGAAUCCCAGCGAGGCCU
This 74-nucleotide transfer RNA is filed under the name Physeter macrocephalus (sperm whale). RNAcentral describes it as "Physeter catodon (sperm whale) tRNA". It matches the Rfam family "tRNA". From Rfam's summary of the family: Transfer RNA (tRNA) molecules are approximately 80 nucleotides in length. Their secondary structure includes four short double-helical elements and three loops (D, anti-codon, and T loops). Further hydrogen bonds mediate the characteristic L-shaped molecular structure. tRNAs have two regions of fundamental functional importance: the anti-codon, which is responsible for specific mRNA codon recognition, and the 3' end, to which the tRNAs corresponding amino acid is attached (by aminoacyl-tRNA synthetases). tRNAs cope with the degeneracy of the genetic code in two manners: having more than one tRNA (with a specific anti-codon) for a particular amino acid; and 'wobble' base-pairing, i.e. permitting non-standard base-pairing at the 3rd anti-codon position. RNAcentral also lists the same sequence under 10 other names. The record is from Rfam by way of RNAcentral. Lineage: Eukaryota; Metazoa; Chordata; Mammalia; Artiodactyla; Physeteridae.